GUGUUGUGAGUAGAAUUUUGAGGAGGAAAAAUGAAUUUCAUCUAUUUUGGAAUAAGGCUGCAACAUAACAAAAUGAGGAUAAACUGAAGCGCUGUAAACAUCUUCCAGAUGCACUGGAAGAGGUUCAUGUC
Molecule: long non-coding RNA, 131 nt
Organism: Thalassophryne amazonica
Lineage: Eukaryota; Metazoa; Chordata; Actinopteri; Batrachoidiformes; Batrachoididae
Exons: 3
Source: RefSeq, a predicted model, not a curated record